CUGUGCCACAGCUGCCUGGCUCCCUGCACUCCGCUCUGUCUAACUCAGUGCACCCUGACCCAACACGGGCCUCGGUGCUCGGGGUUUCUCUCUCAGGACCUAAGGGCAAGGAGCAGAGCCCAGGACUCAAGAGCCAAAGCCAGGGGCUGAGAGUUCCCAGGAGCGAGGCUGGUGCGGCCUGGAUGAGGCACAGAGAUGGGGAAGAAACUGGACCUCUCCAAGCUCACAGAUGAGGAGGCCAAGCAUGUAUGGGCCGUGCUUCAGCGGGACUUUGACCUCCGGAGAAGAGAAGAAGAAAGACUUGAGGGACUGAAGGGCAAGAUACAGAAGGAGAGCUCGAAGAGAGAACUGCUGUCGGACACAGCCCACCUGAAUGAGACCCACUGUGCCCGCUGCCUGCGGCCCUACCGGCUCCUGGUGAACAGCAGGCGGCAGUGCCGAGAGUGUGGCCUCUUUGUCUGCAAAAGCUGCAGCCAUGUCCACCCAGAAGAGCAGGGCUGGCUCUGUGACCCCUGCCACUUGGCCAGAGUCGUGAAGAUUGGCUCGCUGGAGUGGUACUACCAGCAUGUGAGAGCUCGGUUCAAGCGCUUCGGGAGUGCCAAAGUGAUCCGGUCUCUCUGUGGACGGCUGCAGGGCGGAGGUGGAUCUGAGCCAAGCUUGGGAGAAGGCAGUGGAGACAGUGAACAGACAGAUGAGGAUGGAGACCUGGAUGUGGAGGCCCAGGCACAGCCCCUCAACAGCAAAAAAAAGCGUCUGCUCUCCUUCAGUGAUGUGGACUUUGAGGAAGACCCAGAACACUCGAUGGAGCCCUGCGGCCAUACCCUGGGCCUGUCCUCAGUCCCUGAGUCUGCACACAGCCUGCAGUCCCUCUCAGGUGAACCCUGCUCUGAGGAUACCACCUCUCUGGAGCCUGAGGGCCUGGAGGAUACUGAUGCAGGGCCCUUGGGGUGUCACUCCGGUCCAGAAGAGCAGCCACACAUCCCCUUGCCCUCCAGAGAGGAUGUCCACACUGGCCUGGACCUGCCCGGAGCAUCCUGCAAGAGGGCCCUAGGGACCACAACUAUGCCUGGGAUAGAUAAUGUCAAAGGCAAACAGCUCCCCUCACAGUACCUGGCUGACGUGGACACCUCUGAUGAAGACAGUCUCCGAGAUCCCAGGGCAGCCUCCCAGCAUUCCAAGAGGAAGGCCCGGGCAGUGCCUGACACUCAGAUCUUGGAGUUGAACAAGCGCAUGUCAGCUGUGGAGCACCUGCUGGUCCACCUCGAGAAUGUAGUCCUGCCUCCUUCGGCCCAGGAACCAGCUGUGGAAUCACACUCCAGUGCAGACACAGAGGAGGAGGCUCUCAGGAAGAGGCUGGAGGAACUGACCAGCAACAUCAGUGAUCCCGGCACCUCAUCAGAAGAUGAGAUCAAGCCAGAUGGCACCCUCCAUGCGGUAUCCCCAGAGGUGUGCGCAGACACGGGACCCCUGGAGACACCGGGAAGGAGCCCUCAGGGCCCCGGGAACCCUACUCGGACUACAAAGAGCACAGAUGAGGAACUGUCGGAGAUGGAGGACAGAGUGGCCCUGACAGCCUCUGAAGUUCAGCAGUCUGAGAGCGAGGUCUCAGACAUCGAGUCCAGGAUUGCAGCCCUGAGGGCAGCAGGGCUCACUGUGAAACCCUCAGGAAAACCCCGGAGAAAGUCAAACAUCCCGAUCUUUCUUCCCCGGGUGGCUGAGAGACUUGACAGGAUCCCAAAGGAUCCAUCUGCAGACCCUGAGGACCAAGCCAACGUGCCCAAGGUGACAGCCGUGCCCUGUCUCCAGAGGAGGCAGUAUUCCCCCAGCGGUCAAGGCAUAGAUGGUGGUUCUUUUGAUCGGAAAUCAGUGUACCGUGGCUCUCUGACACAGAGGAACCCCAACGGGAGGAGAGGGACGGCCAGCCACAUCUUCGCGGUAAUGUCUCCUCUCUCCAUGUGACCUGUCAGCUUCACGUGUUGAUGCUGAGUCUUAGAUGAGAGCGAAAGAGAGGUGGGAGCUGGGAAACCCGUGAUGGCUCAGCAGCCCUAAAAGGGGACACACGGACACAGAAAAGUACCACAAAGCACCCCACACUGUUUCCUCCACAUGGCCAUCGCAUCCCCACGGGCUCUGUGCCUCUUGACGCUCACAGUUGCUUGUAAUCACCAUCCCAGUGAGAAAUAAGAAGAACUUCCUGUGCGGGUCCACUUGUGAGACAGCAAGUUCUCAGACUUCCGGCUGUUGCCAGGCCACUGACCACAGCCAGGGCGCCUGCCAGCCUCUGACCCAGGAGAUACUAGCUGACGUGAUUUUAUCCUCGGAUGAUGCUCUCUAUCAGGACACCCAGAUCCCCUUUUGCUGUGACCCUGUCUCUUGGCUUUGUUGAGCCACAUUCACAGACAGAAUGGAGGCCCUGAGCAUGUUCACGUUCCUAACUUGAGGGAGAGAGACAGACACAAGAGUGUCUGUGGGUAUGGUGGGAGAGUGCGCAGUUACAGACAGUGAAUGAGGAGGGCUAGAUUCCUCACCCACCCACACAGACCUUCUUCAAAUUUCCUUGUGGGUCACAGACAGGAGCCAUAACUCUGACCCCCACCCCAGAGUUUCCGCCGCCAUAACCACCAACUGCAGGACCACAUUGAGGCCAAGCCUCUAACACAGGCUUUUGGGGUGCACUACACAGGGACCUCACUUUCAAGACAUCUCAUGCUUUAAACUUAGGUUUGUAGCUCACACAAAUGACGGCUUUGGAAUUUGUCAAGAAUUUAGGUUCUCCAAACCAAGUGCAUCCGAACCAAUCUUGCUCGUGGUUGCAUAGUCUGCUCUUCACAGCCUUCCCGCCACUCUAGGGAGGCAGUCUCCAAUCCCAGGGCUGCCUCUUCCCAUCAGCUUGUGUCAUGUCCCAGGAGUCCAGAGAACACCCAGGCCAGAGCCACAAACAGCCUAGUGUACCCUGAGAAUGAACUUCAGGAAGGAACCUCACCCGUUCAGACAUCCACAUCUCAGGAGUCCCACGUUCAUGUCCCGUGUCCUUCUAGCAAAGUACUGCAAACUAAACCAAUCACACCCCCAGGAGAUGUGCCCUCCUGAGUUUCAGAGGACGAAAGUCCAAUUGAGGUGUCCGUGGGAUCUGCAGUCCUGAGGGGUAGGUGCCUCUUCCUCCUCCGGGGAUUGCCACCAUCCCAGUCCACCUUGACAUCAGUCCCCAUCCUCACCCUCAUGCCCCCUUGCCUUGUGUGGUUCUGAACAGCUGCCCUCUUGCCAGGACACCAUGUGUUGCGUGUAGGGCCACCUUUACCCAGUAUGCUUGCCUCAGUUUACCCAGUGUGCUCGCCUCAGCCAACACACUUCCAAAGGCCCUAUUUCCAUAGAUGACUGUCUCCUGCACUUCUAGGUGGCUGUGAACUGGGGAGACAACGUCUGACCCACUACAGAGCAUGAGAGCUCAAAGACCUCAAAGCUUUGCAGUGUACCCCCAAACUGUGGGGUCCUCAUCGCUGCUGAAAGCUAGAGGAAGACCAAGAGGUGGGCCUUGGCCAGGGCGUCCUGUUCAAAUGGGGCUCCCUUUACUGCAUGGAGCAGAAAUCCAUUUAAGUACGAGUGUGGGGAAAGACGCGGAGCUUUCUCCUGUAGCCCAGGGACACAAGCUGUCCAGCUUCGGGGAGUCAAGGGGGAGGCACACCCUCACAGCCUCUGCCUCUCCACAUGCCCCCCCUUCAUUUGGUCAACUGUCCAGAAUUCCAGCCGAUGGUCCAUAGUCACGGUCCCUCCAGCUACAACCCUGUGAUUGCUCCCCUGUGACAGCCACAGCUCACUAUCCCAGACCCCAGGGCAGCUACUUAGGGCCGUGUGCGGCCUCAGUGCCGGUCACCUCGAGCAGGCCUAUGCUGGAUGACGAAGCCCUCUGCUGUACCCAAAGCUGGUUCAACAGUCCUUGCUUGGUUCUCCUGUCCUGGGAUCCCCGGCCCAUUAAUAAGAUGAGGGAAAAGCUCCUUGAUCUCUGUGGUCAAACCCUCUGGGCAUCCCACUUCUCGGCUCUGAGGCACCCGGGCCAGGCCUGCAGCUGGGGUUCUGUGGAGUACUACAAGGGCAGCACAGGCCACACUUCCCUGCGCUUCGCCACCUGCCUCUGGAACACCACCAGCUGUCCGAAGUGUCCCUCAGUUCCGCAGAUCCUUUGCCUGGUGCCAUCAAGUAUGGGGUGAGGAGGAGACUGGAGACUGGGCUGAGACCAAGGUCCUUGUGCUGGCUCCCACCCCGCCUGCUGGCUCCCGUUAGGACCCUCAGAGGGACACUAUGUCCACACUACACUUUGAUAAAGCUACCCUGCUAAAAGGACCCAUAAUCCCAGACACACACACACACACACACACACACACACACAGACACACACACACAGACCCACAGUGAUGUUCAGGACACUCACUCCCACUCCCAAGGUCUCACAGCAGUCCCCUUGGUCCCUAUGACUGAGUGCACAUCCGGGGAAAUCUCCCACAAGACCCACCCCCAAGACAGGUGCAUGCCCCACCAUGGCUGUUCUCACCACGGUGGGAGGCUGGGCUAACAUCAAUGCUAAUGCCUGAGCUAUCUAUCCACAGAUGGAACCAAGGCACCAAGCAAAUGUUUAAAGCUCCUCAUGACCCUAAUCCUAGAGUUCCUUACCAUGCCCACCUCCUACCACAUCUCCCAACGAGCCCUCUGCCAAGGAGAUGGCAGCCAUGCCUUGAGAACACGGAUGUUGCAUUGACCAAGUCCCCAAAGGGUGAAGUGGCAGCCUGAAGCUUUCCCUACACAUCUGGAGGAGGCCAGGAAAUGAUGAUCCCAGGGAGUCCACCUGCUUUGUCUGUUCUCAUGCAUAGCUCCUUCAAGAAUGUUCUAUUGCACUUAAAUGAUAUUUCGUGUAAUCUGUAACUAUUGACAAGGUGGUGACAGGUCCAAGUUAAAUGACAGAAUAUUACAUAGUCAUUUUCAACAGCAUAGAUCUGCAGGCACGUCAACAACUCCAGGCUGUGGUGGUAAGAAGAACGGGGCUCAGCACCUAUAAACAGGAUGAGUCUACCCAGCAGGUGCAGGGAACUCACCAGAAGGCACACCCGGAGUGAAAACCUGGCCUUUGCACAUUAUCUGGCCUCUUUUCUCUAUUUUUAAACGCACUAAUUUUUUUUCUCAUCGCUUGUAAAUUGCUUUUACAGCAAAAUAAACUUGCUUUUUAGAAGUUUUGUUUUGUAUGUGUGAGGUAUGGGGUAUGUCCACAUUUAUGUGGGGACCCUGUGUACAUGUGCGUAGACACCAGAGAUCAAUGCCGGGUAUCUUCCUCAAUCAUUUCUCCACGUUCUUCUUUUGAACCCGGAGGUCAUCAAUGUGGCUAAGUUGACUGGCCAAUGAGCUUUGAGGCUCUUCUGUCUCUGCUCUGUCUGCCUCAGCACUAGGAUUAUAGCUCGAACACUGCCGAGUACCACCUUUAAACUUUCUUUAUAAUAAAAGGAGCUCUCUGUUUUCAA
Molecule: RNA transcript, 5504 nt
Organism: Peromyscus californicus insignis
Lineage: Eukaryota; Metazoa; Chordata; Mammalia; Rodentia; Cricetidae
Gene: Mlph
Gene name: melanophilin
Exons: 16
Source: RefSeq, a predicted model, not a curated record